Molecule: ribosomal RNA, 248 nt
Filed under: uncultured bacterium
Lineage: Bacteria
Description: partial 16S ribosomal RNA
Rfam family: Bacterial small subunit ribosomal RNA
Source: RNAcentral
UACAGAGGUCCCGAGCGUUGUUCGGAUUCACUGGGCGUAAAGGGUGCGUAGGUGGCUUGGAAAGUUUGAUGUGAAAGCUCAGGCUAACCCUGAAAUGGCUUGAAUACUGCUGAGCUGGAGUUUGGAGGGGGACUGGAAUUCUUGGUGUAGCAGUGAAAUGCGUAGAUAUCAAGAGGAACACCAGUGGCGAAGGCGAGUCCCUGGACAAACACCUGACACUGAGGCACGAAAGCUAGGGAGCAAACAGG